This 180-nucleotide small RNA is filed under the name Anas platyrhynchos platyrhynchos (common mallard). RNAcentral describes it as "TUC338 (ENSAPLG00000019214.1)". The record is from RNAcentral. Lineage: Eukaryota; Metazoa; Chordata; Aves; Anseriformes; Anatidae.
UUAACAGCCCCCAAAGCCAAAGUCCUCUGCUUCCUCAACAAAACAGGUUCGGUGAGGGUAUACAACACAUAAGCAUCCCCCACACUGCUCAAUCAAUAUGCCUCAACCCUGACCUGAAAGAAUAUCUCUAAGGGGAAAGAUAUUUGUUAAAUUUCUUUUCCAAUUAAUUUGACAGCUCUG